UCAAGAGUGGCUUAGAGGGUAAAGCAUCUGCCUGCAAUGCAGGAGACCUGGGUUCGAUCCCUGGGUUGGGAA
RNAcentral lists this transfer RNA (72 nucleotides) under Bos taurus (domestic cattle). It matches the Rfam family "tRNA". Rfam says of the family: Transfer RNA (tRNA) molecules are approximately 80 nucleotides in length. Their secondary structure includes four short double-helical elements and three loops (D, anti-codon, and T loops). Lineage: Eukaryota; Metazoa; Chordata; Mammalia; Artiodactyla; Bovidae. The record is from Rfam by way of RNAcentral. RNAcentral also lists the same sequence under 4 other names.